GCAGUCGAACGGCAGCAUAGGGAGCUUGCUCCCUGAUGGCGAGUGGCGAAUGGGNGAGAUANCACGCUAGGAAUCUUCCUCAGAGUGGGGGACAACCNUUGGGAAACUAGGGCUAAUACCCCAUAUUACGGCAACGUAAAAGGUUAGUUUACUAAUCGCUUUGAGAUGAGCCUGCGGUCUAUCAGCUUGUUGGUGGGGUAAUGGCCCACCAAGGCUACGACGGAUAGCCGGCCCGAGAGGGUGGUCGGCCACACUGGAACUGAGACACGGUCCAGACUCCUACGGGAGGCAGCAGUUAAGAAUCUUGCGCAAUGGGCGAAAGCCUGACGCAGCCACGCCGCGUGAGCGAUGAAGGCCCUAGGGUUGUAAAGCUCAGUAAAACAGGAAGAAUAAGCAGAGUCCAAUAGGUUCUGUGAUGACGGUACUGUUCUACAGCCCCGGCUAAUUACGUGCCAGCAGCCGCGGUAAUACGUAUGGGGCAAGCGUUGUUCGGAUUCAUUGGGCGUAAAGGGCACGCAGGCGGACUGUUAAGUUGGAUGUCUAAUCUAAAGGCUCAACCUUUAUAUGGCAUCCAAAACUGGUAGUCUAGAGUCCUGGAGAGGAAAGCGGAAUUCUCGGUGUAGCGGUGGAAUGUGUAGAUAUCGAGAGGAACACCAAUGGCGAAGGCAGCUUUCUGGACAGAGACUGACGCUCAGGUGCGAAAGCGUGGG
This 710-nucleotide ribosomal RNA is filed under the name uncultured spirochete. RNAcentral's name for it is "bacterial SSU rRNA". It matches the Rfam family "Bacterial small subunit ribosomal RNA", at positions 57 to 765 of the family's 1533-position model. The record is from RNAcentral. Lineage: Bacteria; Pseudomonadati; Spirochaetota; Spirochaetia; Spirochaetales.